GACGAAGCGACGCCGCGUGGGUGAGGAAGGCCUUCGGGUUGUAAAGCCCUGUCAGGAGUUAAGAAAUGUAGACUCGCUAAUAUCGGGUCUAUUUGACAAAGGCUCCAAAGGAAGCCACGGCUAACUCUGUGCCAGCAGCCGCGGUAAUACAGAGGUGGCAAGCGUUGUUCGGAAUUAUUGGGCGUAAAGAGCACGUAGGUGGAUUUGUAAGUCAGACGUGAAAGCCUUCUGUUCAACGGAAGAAUUGCAUCUGAAACUACAAACCUUGAGUGUAGGAGGGGAGAAUGGAACUUCUGGUGGAGCGGUGAAAUGCGUAGAUAUCAGAAGGAACGCCGGCGGCGAAAGCGAUUCUCUGGCCUAUUACUGACACUCAGUGUGCGAAAGCUAGGGGAGCAAACGGGAUUAGAUACCCCGGUAGUCCUAGCCGUAAACGAUGGGCACUAAGUAGAGGG
RNAcentral lists this ribosomal RNA (452 nucleotides) under uncultured Planctomycetota bacterium. RNAcentral describes it as "bacterial SSU rRNA". It matches the Rfam family "Bacterial small subunit ribosomal RNA", at positions 385 to 827 of the family's 1533-position model. The record is from RNAcentral. Lineage: Bacteria; Pseudomonadati; Planctomycetota.